GUGAGGGCGACCUGGCUGCAGCAUCUGUCACCCCAUUGAUUGCCAGGGCUGACUCAGCUGAUCUGGCUGGCAAGGUGGGUGUCCCCUUCCCCUCUCAUGUGCAACCCUCCCAAAGCUGCCCGCUCUGAAAAGAUGACCACCCCCAAUAGAGGGGGACUGAUUCCUCCGUCAAGGGUAUACAAGUAGCUGCGCUUCCCUGCUAGCACCUCCAGACAAGCUCUCAAGAUCUGAAAUGGACAGAGUUUAAAAUGUAGUCCUGGAGCCAGAGCCGAGCAUGAUGCCUAUAAUCCCUGCACUUGGGAGGCCGAGGCAGGAGGAUCACUAGG
This 326-nucleotide small nuclear RNA is filed under the name Chinchilla lanigera (long-tailed chinchilla). Its description in RNAcentral is "7SK RNA (ENSCLAG00000021831.1)". It matches the Rfam family "7SK RNA". Rfam says of the family: 7SK was discovered as an abundant small nuclear RNA in the mid-70s but a possible function has only recently been suggested. Two independent studies have found that 7SK RNA binds the CDK9/cyclin T complex (known as elongation factor P-TEFb). The record is from RNAcentral. Lineage: Eukaryota; Metazoa; Chordata; Mammalia; Rodentia; Chinchillidae.